GGUUCCAUAGCUCAGUUGGUUAGAGCGCCGUGCUAAUAACGCGGAUGUCGAGGGUUCGACCCCCUCUGGGACCA
Molecule: transfer RNA, 74 nt
Organism: Penicillium decumbens
Lineage: Eukaryota; Fungi; Ascomycota; Eurotiomycetes; Eurotiales; Aspergillaceae
Rfam family: tRNA
About the family: Transfer RNA (tRNA) molecules are approximately 80 nucleotides in length. Their secondary structure includes four short double-helical elements and three loops (D, anti-codon, and T loops).
Source: Rfam